Olea europaea var. sylvestris is the source of this 196-nucleotide long non-coding RNA. RefSeq lists it as uncharacterized. The transcript is spliced from 3 exons. Lineage: Eukaryota; Viridiplantae; Streptophyta; Magnoliopsida; Lamiales; Oleaceae. The record is from RefSeq and is a predicted model, not a curated record.
GGAAAGUGACAAGUGUUCGAAAGAGAAACGAAAGACAAUUAAUGGGGAUGAUUUGCUGGGGGCUAUGGCAACUUUGGGAUUUGAAGAUUACGUUGAUCCAUUAAAGGUGUAUCUGGCUAGAUGGAGGGUGAUACCAAAUGAUCAGGAUAGGGUGCAGAUGGAUCUUUGAAAGGAUGCACUAGUAACUAAUCCUAGU